CCUANGGGUGGCAGCAGUGGGGAAUAUUGCACAAUGGGGGAAACCCUGAUGCAGCAACGCCGCGUGAAGGAUGAAGGUUUUCGGAUUGUAAACUUCUUUGACCGGGGACGAAACAAAUGACGGUACCCGGAAAACAAGCCACGGCUAACUACGUGCCAGCAGCCGCGGUAAUACGUAGGUGGCGAGCGUUGUCCGGAAUUACUGGGUGUAAAGGGCGUGUAGGCGGGUCUGCAAGUCAGAUGUGAAAUUCCGGGGCUUAACUCCGGCGCUGCAUUUGAAACUGCGGAUCUUGAGUGUUGGAUAGGGAAGUGGAAUUCCUAGGGUAGCGGUGAAAUGCGUAGAUAUUAGGAGGAACACCAGUGGCGAAGGCGACUUCCUGGACAACAACUGACGCUGAGGCGCGAAAGCGUGGGGAGCAAACAGGAUUAGAUACCCUGNUANUC
Molecule: ribosomal RNA, 443 nt
Filed under: uncultured bacterium
Lineage: Bacteria
Description: bacterial SSU rRNA
Rfam family: Bacterial small subunit ribosomal RNA
Source: RNAcentral